Molecule: ribosomal RNA, 552 nt
Filed under: uncultured bacterium
Lineage: Bacteria
Description: bacterial SSU rRNA
Rfam family: Bacterial small subunit ribosomal RNA
Source: RNAcentral
UGGGGAAUCUUGCGCAAUGGCCGAAAGGCUGACGCAGCGACGCCGCGUGCGGUAGGAAGGCCUUCGGGUCGUAAACCGCUGUCGGGAGGGAAGAAGCGACCGGGGGGGAAAUCCCCUGGUUCUGACGGUACCUCCAAAGGAAGCACCGGCUAACUCCGUGCCAGCAGCCGCGGUAAUACGGAGGGUGCGAGCGUUGUUCGGAAUUAUUGGGCGUAAAGCGCGCGCAGGCGGCCGAACAAGUCCAUGGGUCAAAGGCUGGGGCUCAACCCCAAGCACGCCCAGGAUACUGUUCGGCUAGAGACACGUAGAGGCAAGCGGAAUUCCGGGUGUAGCGGUGGAAUGCGUAGAGAUCCGGAAGAACACCGGAGGCGAAGGCGACUUGCUGGGCGUGAUCUGACGCUGAGGCGCGAAAGCGUGGGGAGCGAACAGGAUUAGAUACCCUGGUAGUCCACGCUGUAAACGAUGGGCACUGGAUGCGGGGGGGAUCGGCCCUCUCCGUGUCGCAGCUUACGCGUUAAGUGCCCCGCCUGGGGAGUACGGCCGCAAGGCUGA